UAGGGAAUCUUCGGCAAUGGGGGCAACCCUGACCGAGCAACGCCGCGUGAGUGAAGAAGGUUUUCGGAUCGUAAAGCUCUGUUGUAAGUCAAGAACGGGUGUGAGAGUGGAAAGUUCACACUGUGACGGUAGCUUACCAGAAAGGGACGGCUAACUACGUGCCAGCAGCCGCGGUAAUACGUAGGUCCCGAGCGUUGUCCGGAUUUAUUGGGCGUAAAGCGAGCGCAGGCGGUUUGAUAAGUCUGAAGUUAAAGGCUGUGGCUCAACCAUAGUUCGCUUUGGAAACUGUCAAACUUGAGUGCAGAAGGGGAGAGUGGAAUUCCAUGUGUAGCGGUGAAAUGCGUAGAUAUAUGGAGGAACACCGGUGGCGAAAAGCGGCUCUCUGGUCUGUAACUGACGCUGAGGCUCGAAAGCGUGGGGAGCGAACAGGAUUAGAUACCCUGGUAGUCCACGCCGUAAAACGAUGAGUGCUAGGUGUUGGAUCCUUUCCGGGAUUCAGUGCCGCAGCUAACGCAUUAAGCACUCCGCCUGGGGAGUACGACCGCAAGGUUGAAAC
RNAcentral lists this ribosomal RNA (556 nucleotides) under uncultured bacterium. Its description in RNAcentral is "partial 16S ribosomal RNA". It matches the Rfam family "Bacterial small subunit ribosomal RNA", at positions 355 to 900 of the family's 1533-position model. The record is from RNAcentral.